RNAcentral lists this ribosomal RNA (546 nucleotides) under unidentified oil field bacterium DBUL8. RNAcentral describes it as "bacterial SSU rRNA". It matches the Rfam family "Bacterial small subunit ribosomal RNA", at positions 362 to 896 of the family's 1533-position model. The record is from RNAcentral. Lineage: Bacteria; Deltaproteobacteria.
UAUUGCGCAAUGGGGGCAACCCUGACGCAGCGACGCCGCGUGAGUGAGGAAGGCCUUCGGGUCGUAAAGCUCUGUCAAAGGGGAAGAAGUGCAUGGUGGUUAAUAUCUGUCAUGUUUGACGGUACCCUUAAAGGAAGCACCGGCUAACUCCGUGCCAGCAGCCGCGGUAAUACNNGAGGGUGCAAGCGUUGUUCGGAAUCACUGGGCGUAAAGGGCGCGCAGGCGGUUUGAAUAGUCAGAUGUGAAAGCCCACGGCUUAACCGUGGAAGUGCAUUUGAAACUGUCAGACUUGAGUACCAGAGGGGAAAGUGGAAUCCCCGGUGUAGAGGUGAAAUUCGUAGAUAUCGGGCGGAAUACCCGUGGCGAAGGCGACUUUCUGGCUGGAUACUGACGCUGAGGGCGCGAAAGCGUGGGGAGCAAACAGGAUUAGAUACCCUGGUAGUCCACGCUGUAAACGAUGUGCACUAGAUGUAGGGGGUGUUGAUCCCCUCUGUGUCGCACGUAACGCAUUAAGUGCACCGCCUGGGGAGUACGGUCGCAAGAUUA